GAUGAAGAACGCAGCGAAAUGCGAUAAGUAGUGUGAAUUGCAGAAUUCAGUGAAUCAUCGAAUCUUUGAACGCACCUUGCGCCCUUUGGCUAUUCCGAAGGGCAUGCCUGUUUGAGUAUCAUGAACACCUCAACUCUCAUGGUUUUUCCAUGAUGGGCUUGGACUUUGGGGGUCUUGCUGGCCUAUGGUCAGCUCCUCUUAAACGAAUCAGCUUGCCAGUGUUGGUGUGGCAUGACAGGUGUGAUAACUAUCUACGCUUGUGGUUUUCCAUCAAGUAACCUUCAGUGAUGGAGGUUCGCUGGGGCUCAUAAAGGCCUCUCCUCGGUGAGGAUGGCUCCUUUGAACGUUUGAUCUCAAAUCAGGUAGGACUACCCGCUGAACUUAAGCAUAUCAUAAGCGGAGGA
This 404-nucleotide unclassified non-coding RNA is filed under the name soil metagenome. RNAcentral describes it as "partial contains 5.8S ribosomal RNA, internal transcribed spacer 2, and large subunit ribosomal RNA". The stretch from base 1 to 121 matches the Rfam family "5.8S ribosomal RNA", at positions 35 to 154 of the family's 154-position model. The record is from RNAcentral.